GAUGAACGCUGGCGGUAUGCUUAACACAUGCAAGUCGAACGGACUCUUCGGAGUUAGUGGCGGACGGGUGAGUAACGCGUGAGAAUCUGGCUUUGGGUUCGGGACAACCACUGGAAACGGUGGCUAAUACCGGAUGUGCCGAGAGGUAAAAGAGAAAUUGCCUGAAGAUGAGCUCGCGUCUGAUUAGCUAGUUGGUGAGGUAAAGGCUCACCACGGCAGCGAUCAGUAGCUGGUCUGAGAGGAUGACCAGCCACACUGGGACUGAGACACGGCCCAGACUCCUACGGGGGGCAGCAGUGGGGAAUGUUCCGCAAUGGGCGAAAGCCUGACGGAGCAAUACCGCGUGAGGGAAGAAGUCUCUUGGGUUGUAAACCUCUUUUCUUAGGGAAGAACAAAAUGACGGUACCUAAGGAAUCAGCAUCGGCUAACUCCGUG
Molecule: ribosomal RNA, 435 nt
Filed under: uncultured bacterium
Lineage: Bacteria
Description: partial 16S ribosomal RNA
Rfam family: Bacterial small subunit ribosomal RNA
Source: RNAcentral